UUAAGAGCCGCUUGGAGAAAGAUUCUAAGGGAACAUCCUCGUGUAACCCUGGGCGCAUUGGCAGCGUCAGAACUCCAAGUGGGCCAGACGAAGAAGUAGUAGAAGAAGAAGCAGCAACAGCAGGAGCAGAAGCCAGGCUGAGGGCCAGUCUGAUAAAAGGCCGCCUGAUCUUCGUUUCUCGUGUCACCAAAUUGGUUGGGAUUCUAGUCGUUGCAUCCCACUUGCGCUUCGCCAUCCCAGCCACCCACUAACCUACACUCACACUCGCGCACACACACACACACACACACUUGCACUCUUCUGUCAUCUCCUGUUGCUAUCUUUGUGUUGAGCUUGCAACAGGCUGCCGCUUCUUCCCGAGUUCCUCUUUGUCGAGUUUUCAUUCUUCUUGACGACGGCGACGGCGACGACGUCUGGGUUUCGGGGGUGGGGUCGGAAGGAGGCGACGUUUUGUUGUGAAAUUAACUGAAGUAGCUUUGGGCUCCGUCGAGGUCUGGCCAUAAUGGACGCUGUUCCAUGCCGUGCAGCGUUAUACCAGUGCUACUCCACACCCCUGAUUCGGAAAUCCACGUCGUUCUUUGCUUCCUUGAGCUCUGACCGGCUGUUGCCCAGUUUGGAUGUCCGAGAUCGCUCCGUGCCCCAGACCAUCGAGUAGGCUCAUGUGAGUUACUGGCUAUCACCCCGGGAAAGAGUUGACAUGGUACAUUCAGAAUACGUUUGCUGAUCUUUUUCCGGUUGGGUCUUCUGAACUUAGAUCCUUCAAUUUCAAUUGCAAUUCUCCCGAUGAUGCGAAGCUACUUCAAAAGAAGUCCGAAUAUAUAUAUAUAUAUAUAUAUAUAUCUAUAUAUAUAUAUAUAUAUAUACAUAUCAACUACUGUGGACGUAUAAUAUGGUCGGAAUGCCAUCGUUUAUUUUCCAUGAUUUUCAUUGUCUCAACGGACCCUACCUUUGACCACAGGAUCCACAUACAGCCGAAAUCCUAAGCACAUAAUUGGAAUCAUAUUUUGCCAGUCGAAUGUCGAGUUGCAGUUUUCAUAGAGCUGCCCGAUCUAGUUUACUACUAGCGUAUGGAGCAGAUUAUUCAGGUUCCAUACCGGUGUAGGAUUGCAAUUUUGUCAUUAGAACUAGUUUUAGCUAGGAAGAACCAUAUUGAUACACAGCCUAGUUGUGAACCCAUCACUCAAUAGUUGUUUUCCCCUUGUAGAAAUCAGCGUUCACGAGUUGGAAGCUCUCAUCAUUUUCAGUCCAAAUGUACCAUCACAAAUGUGAUUCAAUACAACAUCAUAUAAAACUACAUCUUUUUUACAGGGA
Molecule: non-coding RNA, 1311 nt
Organism: Physcomitrium patens
Lineage: Eukaryota; Viridiplantae; Streptophyta; Bryopsida; Funariales; Funariaceae
Source: RefSeq, a predicted model, not a curated record